GACGAACGCUGGCGGCGUGCUUAACACAUGCAAGUCGAACGGAAAGGCCCUGCUUUUGUGGGGUGCUCAAGUGGCGAACGGGUGAGUAACACGUGAGUAACCUGCCCUUGACUUUGGGAUAACUUCAUGAAACUGGGGCUAAUACCGGAUAGGAGCUCCUGCUGCAUGGUGGGGGUUGGAAAGUUUCGGCGGUUGGGGAUGGACUCGCGGCUUAUCAGCUUGUUGGUGGGGUAGUGGCUUACCAAGGCUUUGACGGGUAGCCGGCCUGAGAGGGUGACCGGCCACAUUGGGACUGAGAUACGGCCCAGACUCCUACGGGAGGCAGCAGUGGGGAAUAUUGCACAAUGGGCGGAAGCCUGAUGCAGCAACGCCGCGUGCGGGAUGACGGCCUUCGGGUUGUAAACCGCUUUCGCCUGUGACGAAGCGUGAGUGACGGUAAUGGGUAAAGAAGCACCGGCUAACUACGUG
RNAcentral lists this ribosomal RNA (468 nucleotides) under uncultured bacterium. RNAcentral's name for it is "partial 16S ribosomal RNA". It matches the Rfam family "Bacterial small subunit ribosomal RNA", at positions 28 to 507 of the family's 1533-position model. The record is from RNAcentral.